UACGUAGGGGGGCAAGCGUUGUCCGGAUUUAUUGGGCGUAAAGAGCGUGUAGGCGGCUUUACAGGUCCGUUGUGAAAACUCGAGGCUCAACCUCGAGACGCCGGUGGAAACCGUAAGGCUAGAGUCCGGAAGAGGAGAGUGGAAUUCCUGGUGUAGCGGUGAAAUGCGCAGAUAUCAGGAGGAACACCGGUGGCGAAGGCGGGUCUCUGGGCAGUAACUGACGCUGAGAAGCGAAAGCGUGGGGAGCGAACAGG
This 254-nucleotide ribosomal RNA is filed under the name uncultured bacterium. RNAcentral describes it as "partial 16S ribosomal RNA". It matches the Rfam family "Bacterial small subunit ribosomal RNA", at positions 524 to 776 of the family's 1533-position model. The record is from RNAcentral.